Molecule: long non-coding RNA, 478 nt
Filed under: Carica papaya (papaya)
Lineage: Eukaryota; Viridiplantae; Streptophyta; Magnoliopsida; Brassicales; Caricaceae
Description: long non-coding RNA (CPAP_LNC003980)
Source: RNAcentral
AUUUAAAAAAAUUGUACUACGUAGGACCGCCCAGUCAGCAGCCUAGAUGAACUGAAGCGUGGCGCGUGGCAAAGCACGCUGACUUGGUGCCAUGAAGGAGGCCACGCCGGUGAUCCACGUGCCCCGCAAUCGGAUGGCCUGAAAGUGUUCUUGCGUGCGUGGACAUUCGAAUUCAUUCCCUCCUCAGGCGCAAUCAGACGAUCGUGAUUAAACGCGAUGAACGGUUCAGAUUUGUUUCCUCUUUAAACACGAUCAGACAGUCGAGAUCAAAUCAUGAUGAACGGUCUAGAUUCAUUUCUUUUUUAAAUGCAAUUGGACGAACGAGAUCAAAUGCGAUGAAUAGUCCAGAUUUAAGCGAGAUGGGUAUAAAUAUCUCGCAUCACACCGAACUCAAACCCUAGCCGCCAGCCUCCCAUUGGAGAAGAAGAACCAAUUAUUGGAGAAGAAGAACUAAUCAUUGGAGAAGAAGAACCAGUCG